RNAcentral lists this ribosomal RNA (324 nucleotides) under uncultured eukaryote. RNAcentral describes it as "partial 18S ribosomal RNA". It matches the Rfam family "Eukaryotic small subunit ribosomal RNA", at positions 1470 to 1796 of the family's 1831-position model. The record is from RNAcentral.
CCCUUAGAUGUUCUGGGCUGCACGCGCGCUACACUGAUGCGAUCAACAAGUUUUUCCUAUGUCGAUAGACACGGGUAAUCUUUUGAACUCGCAUCGUGAUGGGGAUAGAUUAUUGUAAUUAUUAAUCUUCAACGAGGAAUUACUAGUAGGUGCAAAUCAUCAGUUUGCAUCGAUUACGUCCCUGCCCUUUGUACACACCGCCCGUCGCUGCUACCGAUUGGUUGAUCUGGUGAAUUAUUCGGACUGCCGGCUGAAGGGGUUUCCUCAUCUGCCAGCGGAAAGUCUUGUUAACCCUAUCAACUAGAGGAAGCAGAAGUCGUAACA